This 1457-nucleotide long non-coding RNA is filed under the name Apteryx owenii (little spotted kiwi). RNAcentral's name for it is "lncRNA (ENSAOWG00000007431.1)". Lineage: Eukaryota; Metazoa; Chordata; Aves; Apterygiformes; Apterygidae. The record is from RNAcentral.
UUCACGCUGGCCUGGCAUCCAAAAGACACCAUAGAGAGCUGUGAAUCUUCCUUCUCCCUCUUUAUCCUGCUCCAUCUCCUGCAGAAAUCGGUGCUCUCACGUGGCCGGUUCUUACUGCUCCUACCUGGUCCCUCACCCGCUUUAGGGAGAGCGUUACUCACUGGUGACCGGCACGGCAGUUACCUGACCCAUCUCGUGUUUGGUGGCAAGUACAUUCCCCUCCGCGCAGACCUGUUCAGGAGAACAACAGCAUCUAAUGCAGCAGCACUGCAGCCACGUUGGGGUUUCGGCCUUGUCUCCAGCGGCUCGGCAGACAGAUGCUCCCUCGGCGUAGCUUGUACCCCGUUCUCGCGUGGGGAGAAGUCGCGCUGGGGGUUGCCGUUUCUCCUGAUCCGUGAUCCUGUGACUGUCAGUGCCAAAAGGAAACGUGGGGCCCCGAGGAGGGGCACACGCCGUAGCUGCCUGCCAGAGCAGCACCGUACCAUGCUGAGGGCGCCCACAGGCAGAGCCGGCAGCUGCCUUCCCCUCUGCGGGCAAGCUGCCUCCCCUCGGCCGCGGGACCGGGGCAGAAACUUGGGCUGCCACAGAGAAGCACUUGCCCUUCGCCGUUGCCAGCCGGCGCUGGUGGUCACCACCUAUGGGAGGCCGAGUGCCUGCUCUGUGCUGAGCCGGCUCGGGAAAACCCUCCUCAUCCCUGCAGGCCCCAGCUGGUCUCUCCCUGCCAGCCAGCAGAAGCUGGGUUUGUCCCUCCGCUCAGAGGCUGAGGGACCCCAAGGGCUUUGCCAGAGCAUCGGGGGGUCCCAGCUGGGUCGAAGCGAGGGGCCCAGAUGCGACUGCAAGGUGCGGCUCCGUCCCAAGGCUGCCCCCGCCGCCAGCAGUCACUUAAACCCAGGAGGAAAAGUGGCUCAGGGGCUUCUCGGGUGCCUUGGAGCAGAGAGCUGAGCCAGCUCGGGGCACCGGUGGCCCUGCAGUGGGGAGGGGGCCCAGCGGCUGGCACUGGGCGCUGUGGGCCAGGACACCUGCCGAGCAGGCAACGUGCCAGGGCCGGACACGAUGAUUAAUGCUCUGAUGGCAGCUAAGCCCCUCUGCAAACACGCUUUAAUAUCCGAUACGGGGAGAUCGGCCGGCACCUGCGAACGUGCCUGCGGAUUAGGGGCGGCCACGCCGCAAUCAUCUGCGGAUACUGCCUCAGAUUAAGGUAUUUUUCCGAAAGAUUAGUCGGUAUUAGGGGGCUGAUCGGGAGCUGGCCCCGCCAGAGCCUCACCGGCAUUUAGGAUAUUGGAUGGCAUCGCAGGGACCUGAAGGAGCCGGCAGUAAUUCCACGCGCUAAUGAAAAUCACGGCGCUAAGCCGGCCCGGGGGGGCCCGGGGGGCCCUGCUGGGGCUACAGCUCGCCCAGGUUGGUGAUGGCCGCGCUGCAGAUGAGGUCGGAGAUGGAGCCCAGCGAGGUGGGGAGGC